Molecule: long non-coding RNA, 723 nt
Filed under: Calidris pugnax (ruff)
Lineage: Eukaryota; Metazoa; Chordata; Aves; Charadriiformes; Scolopacidae
Description: lncRNA (ENSCPUG00000009634.1)
Source: RNAcentral
GCGGCGGCGCGCGCCCUUCGGGGCGGUGAGGGCGGGCAGGGCCGCCGGGGCCGGGCCCCUGUCGUCGUGGGCCGCGGCCGCCGGUGCCGGAGGGGGAGGAAGAAGAGCCCUCCCUCUGCCAGGCCGUUCGGGGGCGGCGUGGCAGGGCCGGGGCCGCCGGUGCUCGUCGAGGAGUUUUUUUUCCCUCAGGGCCGACCGGGCGAUUUCUCCCCGCCGAAGGAGAAGGAGCUCCCGCUAGAUGAAUUGAUAACGUGAGGCAAUGGGACAGAAGGAAAGAUUAAGAUGAGGAGCUUAAUAGCUAAGAAAAUAAACGGCUAUAAGAUCAGAAAGAUAAGCUGAGCCGCGUCCAUCAAGAGAGCAGUGUUUGUGUUGGAUCUGACGCAAAUGGGAUGCUAAUGGCAGUGAAGGAAAGAUGCAGGGAAUCCUGCUUCGUGGAGGAAGGGCCACUCCGGUAAUUCCGUUCAACACUUCCCUUCAGCUGACAAGUCAACCAUGUCACACUGUACCCUGUGAGAAGUCCAUCAUCUGGGAAAAAAACCCAUCCAAUUGGAUUGGAAAGCCCAAGUUCUUUCAGAGGAGCAGCUGAGGGCUUUUGCAGGUUUGUUUCCCCUUUAUUCCAUCUCUAGGCAAUUGGUAGGAGGACACUUGAGGCCAAAUUUGUGGUGCUGCUGAACACCCAAGUGAAGCUGAUUGAUACAGUGCAUUAAGUGAAUGAAACAGUGU